AGCAACUUUGUUAUUGAAAACUUUUACAUUUGGAGCUUGUAUCAUGAUGAAUUAUGAGGUAGAAUUUGGAGAAAUCAAACAUGGUUGAAAAUUUUCUAAGUAUAAAAUCAAAUGAUCACUUUUUCCACCUUGAAUAACUUUUGCUAUGAGCUUCAAAUGAAGAUGGUUCCUUCAUCAAAGUUGUAGCUUAUUCAUUCCUUUUAAAUUUGGUCACAAAUUUGACGCCAU
This 228-nucleotide long non-coding RNA is filed under the name Lathyrus oleraceus (garden pea). Its description in RNAcentral is "Pisum sativum (pea) long non-coding RNA (PSAT_LNC039695)". Lineage: Eukaryota; Viridiplantae; Streptophyta; Magnoliopsida; Fabales; Fabaceae. The record is from RNAcentral.